GCCUUCAUGGUGUAAUGGUUAGCACACUCAGCAUAUUCGAGAGGUCCAUGGUUCGAGUCCUAGUGAGGGCA
RNAcentral lists this transfer RNA (71 nucleotides) under Stegodyphus mimosarum. It matches the Rfam family "tRNA". From Rfam's summary of the family: Transfer RNA (tRNA) molecules are approximately 80 nucleotides in length. The record is from Rfam by way of RNAcentral. Lineage: Eukaryota; Metazoa; Arthropoda; Arachnida; Araneae; Eresidae.